GAGCAUGCACAAGAGGCCUGGGUGGUCCGGGUGGACAUCGGCAUAACCCCAAUCCCCGAACAUCUAGGCCUCGCUUUGCAACGGGCUAGACAAACUAUUGGCCAUUUUAUGGGUCCAUGCAACCAUGAGAUAACUGCCAUCAUCACUAUCUUGCUGCAGCCGGCCGGUGAUAUCUGCACCGAAGUGAAGAACACAGUGAACGGUGGUGGAAGCCAAACUGAAGCCUCAGCUUUGCUGCUCACCUCGCUGGUUUCCGGCAUCGGAGGAUUUCCAACGCCGGCGUACGUCCAUGGGAGGAGACCAUCCAACGGCAAUGAGAUGGUCGUCGGCCAUGGCGGUCGGUGGCGGUGGGGGGCUAAAGGAAAGAGGGGUCCAUUUGUCAAAAUACAUGGUCACUACCAAUGA
Molecule: long non-coding RNA, 405 nt
Filed under: Oryza sativa Indica Group (long-grained rice)
Lineage: Eukaryota; Viridiplantae; Streptophyta; Magnoliopsida; Poales; Poaceae
Description: lncRNA OsMH63_07G018990
Source: RNAcentral